GUAUCGAUAGCUUAAACUCACAAAGCGUAGCUCUGAAAAGGCUAACAUGAUCCCAGAUCUCUGUACA
Molecule: transfer RNA, 67 nt
Filed under: Euthalenessa festiva
Lineage: Eukaryota; Metazoa; Annelida; Polychaeta; Phyllodocida; Sigalionidae
Description: tRNA-Phe
Source: RNAcentral